RNAcentral lists this small RNA (2387 nucleotides) under Pongo abelii (Sumatran orangutan). Its description in RNAcentral is "processed transcript". Lineage: Eukaryota; Metazoa; Chordata; Mammalia; Primates; Hominidae. The record is from RNAcentral.
AUGUAUCUGUACCCUCAAUGUUUGCCCCAAGAUGGCAUCUCAGGCUCAGUGUAUUCUUUAUAUUCUCCGAAGACUACUCCCCUCUAGGGCUCCUGCCUCAGAAGGGCACCAUGUCCCACUCCUCCCCAUCCCAAAGCCCACAGGGCCAUCCUUCACCCCUUCUUCUCCCUCACCACCACAUUCUUAAGUCUUCCUCUAUAAUCUGUCUGCUUUUCCUGUCUCACUACUGUCUCCCGACCUGGUUGAGGACACCUUUCCUCCUUAGCCAAUCACUUACUAAAAAGCUGGUGUCCCCGUCUCCGUUCUUACCCAUUUGUUCUCCAUGCAGCCAGAGUAAUUCAUUUCACUCUCCCUGUUUAAACUCAUUGAUGGCUCGGCCCUGGGCUUAGGAUAGAAUGCAGAAUCUGUAAAGGCCUUACAUGAACCCUGUGUCUCCAGCCACUUGGUUCACUUUCAGGCUCCAGCCAAACAAUUUCCUUAGGCCUUUUGCUCUUUCCAGCUUUCUCCAAGAUGUUCUCUCUCCUAACUUCCCUUAUGGCCCAGCCAUCAUUUGGUUCUCAGCUGAGACACCAUUUUCCACAGGAUGCCUCCCCUGGCCUCCAAGGCUGGUUAGGUGUUGUCUUGAUGCUUUUACAGCUCUUGUACUGACACCCUCAUUCCCUGCUGCCUCCAUGGGGACUGCCUUGCCUGGCUGUCUCUGCUUCCCUGUGAGCAUGUUGUGGAAAGACAGGGACUAUCUCCACAGUGAAAAGGUUACCUCCCUGCCUCUCUCCAACCCCUAGGUGAAGCUCCUGGAAGUGAUGGAAGGAAUGGACAAGGAGACGUUUGAGUUCAAGUUUGGGAAAGAACUAACAUUCACCACUGUACUGAGUGACCAACAGGUGGUGGAGCUGAUCCCUGGGGGCGCAGGCAUCGUCGUGGGAUAUGGGGACCGUUCUCGUUUCAUCCAGCUGGUCCAGAAGGCACGGCUAGAGGAGAGCAAGGAGCAGGUGGCAGCUAUGCAGGCAGGUCUGCUGAAGGUGGUGCCACAGGCUGUGCUGGACUUGCUGACCUGGCAAGAGUUGGAGAAGAAAGUGUGUGGGGAUCCAGAGGUCACUGUGGAUGCUCUGCGCAAGCUCACCCGGUUUGAGGACUUCGAGCCAUCUGACUCGCGGGUGCAGUAUUUCUGGGAGGCACUGAACAACUUCACCAACGAGGACCGGAGCCGCUUCCUGCGCUUUGUCACGGGCCGCAGUCGCCUACCAGCACGGAUCUACAUCUACCCAGACAAGCUGGGCUACGAGACCACAGAUGCACUGCCCGAGUCUUCCACCUGCUCCAGCACCCUCUUCCUGCCACACUAUGCCAGCGCCAAGGUAUGCGAGGAGAAGCUCCGCUAUGCGGCCUACAACUGCGUGGCCAUCGACACUGACAUGAGCCCUUGGGAGGAGUGAGGCGUGCCGCCGGCUGUGGGACCAGCAGGACUGCACGUGUCCCUCUUGGCCUUGCCCAGGGCGAAGACACCUUCCCUGCCCUGGUUUGGCUGACGUGCUCCGCAAAACCCCGUGUGCCCCGCUCCUGUGUGCAGUUGGAGUAGGGGCAGCUGGCGUGGUCAGGUGAACACUAGUGGCCCAGCCCCGCAGACCCACAAGCCCUACCCGUGCCGGGGCUUGCUUCCCGAGGUAUUUCACCUCUUAAGAGGGAAUCUUCCACAAGCCCAGUACAAGCUGCCAGGCCUGAGCUACUUGAAGGGGGCCAUCUAGGUCCCCAACCCAUGGACUUUGCCUCCAUUUUCAGCUCCACCUUUUUUCUCCUAUUUUCUCUCUGGCUUUCUUCAGCCAUUACUCACAACUAAAAACAUAAAACACUGGAGGUUGGUGGAGGCCCCUCCCCAAGCAGGGAGCCUGGGAUGGGCAGGGAGUGAUAGCCAAACUCCUUGGUCACCUGCUCCAAGAAGGAAGCAGUAGCUGAGCACCUGCCUUCACAUACUGCUCUUUUCCUCCUCUCCCUCCAUACCAGAGAUGUGGUGAGCUCUGUUCUUCUUCCAACCCAGUCUCAACACACAAAGUGCCACCACCUUCCCUGACUCAGAACCCACAUCCACUCAAUGUGAACCCUGCUACCACGACCUCCCCAUAUUCCUCACUUCUCCAUCACCUCCAGCCUGACUCCCUGUCUGCCCUUUCACCCCCAAGAUUUUGCACAGGUUAAGGCCAGUUAUGGCCUUUUUGAAAUCUGUAAUAGCUCCCCUUUCCCCAACUCUAAAGCCUAGACCUUAAACCUGUUCCUAGAGCUAUGCACAUCCCUGCCCCAGUUUACCAUUCCUCCCUCAGGGCCUCCGUGACACUCCAUGAAAAGAAGUUCUUGCAUACCAGAAAGUUGAAUAAAUGGAUGAAUUCAUUCCUUCA